This 301-nucleotide ribosomal RNA is filed under the name uncultured bacterium. Its description in RNAcentral is "partial 16S ribosomal RNA". It matches the Rfam family "Bacterial small subunit ribosomal RNA", at positions 509 to 809 of the family's 1533-position model. The record is from RNAcentral.
CAGUCGCCGCGGGAAUACAGAGGGUGCGAGCGUUAAUCGGAUUUACUGGGCGUAAAGCGUGCGUAGGCGGCUUUUUAAGUCGGAUGUGAAAUCCCUGAGCUUAACUUAGGAAUUGCAUUCGAUACUGGGAAGCUAGAGUAUGGGAGAGGAUGGUAGAAUUCCAGGUGUAGCGGUGAAAUGCGUAGAGAUCUGGAGGAAUACCGAUGGCGAAGGCAGCCAUCUGGCCUAAUACUGACGCUGAGGUACGAAAGCAUGGGGAGCAAACAGGAUUAGAUACCCCCGUAGUCCCUGUCUCUUAUCC